UACGGGGGGGGCAAGCGUUGUUCGGAAUUACUGGGCGUAAAGCGUGCGCAGGCGGUUUCGUAAGUCUGUCGUGAAAUCCCCGGGCUUAACCUGGGAAUGGCGAUGGAGACUGCGAGGCUAGAGUUUGGCAGAGGGGGGUAGAAUUCCACGUGUAGCAGUGAAAUGCGUAGAGAUGUGGAGGAACACCGAUGGCGAAGGCAGCCCCCUGGGUCAAAACUGACGCUCAUGCACGAAAGCGUGGGGAGCAAACAGG
Molecule: ribosomal RNA, 253 nt
Filed under: uncultured bacterium
Lineage: Bacteria
Description: partial 16S ribosomal RNA
Rfam family: Bacterial small subunit ribosomal RNA
Source: RNAcentral